AAAAAAAAAAAAAGAAUCGAAAUGACUUCAGGUUCAAGGUGACUGUAUUUAUUUUUCACAGCUCCUCGUACAAACCAUUAUAAAUGCUGUGGUCAACCGUUUUCAUCAACUUUUCUCCAAUCAUACAAUGGAAAGCUUCACUUUGAAUCAUUCCAUCCUCAUAAUUUCUCUCCAUCUUCUUAUCUUCUCUCUCUCCAUCUUCAAUCUCUCAGUCCCGGCAGCAGCAACAAGUUUAGGUUGUGCACUUGUGAAUUGUGGGGAAGGAACAUGCAAGGAUUCCAAUUCCUCAGUGCUCGGUUUUGAAUGGAAUGCAAUCCCGGCUGGAAGAAGAUUCAGAUUGGUCCCUUGACCUUCCCUUCUUGUGUUCUUCCUAACUGUUCGAUAGAUCUUCAAUGUACAUGCAUCUUCACCAGCACUCUCUCUGCCUCAAUUAAACGUUGUGCUCUUGUAUGGUGCGGAAAAGGAACUUGUGUUGCCAAUGAAACUGGAUACAAAUGCCAGUGCUCUCAGGGCGCUGCUAAUUUGUCGGCAACGCAGCCUGGCUUGUUUAGAUACCUGCUCUUUUGGAGCAGAUUGUGACGGGCUCGGGUUGGGCCUGCCAACGCCUAAUCCACCACCACCUCCAGUAAAAUCGGGAUCCACAACUGAAACUGGACCUGCUCCAGCAAGUAACUGUGCAAGAAAUCUUCGUGCAUUAACAAUGAUGCUGUUUGCAACAGUCACCCUGGCAUGGUUUUAGAGAGCUUUGUUAACAGAUUGAUUAUGAUUUUUGUUUUUCUAAUCUUGAUUAUUAUGACUUAUUUAUAUGGAGAACAAUAUAAUAUACAUUGUGUAUAAGGAUAAAUUAGCUUCAUUAAUAAUGCCACAUUCUUAUUUAAAGCU
Molecule: long non-coding RNA, 882 nt
Organism: Pistacia vera
Lineage: Eukaryota; Viridiplantae; Streptophyta; Magnoliopsida; Sapindales; Anacardiaceae
Exons: 6
Source: RefSeq, a predicted model, not a curated record